UUUAGUUACAAGUGCAGUUGGAGUGCAUUUAACUUUGUAACAGGAUGAGAACAAGAGAGAAUAUCCAAAAGUGUAAGAAGAGAAGGAUCAACAAGUGCGUCAGGAAGGUCUCAACUCUCAGAUCAGUUCAGGUGCAAGGCAUUUUGACAUGGUUGAAUGGCGUUGAUUUUAAUGCUGCAAGUUUGAUGAACAAGGCAGUAUUCACAUGUACCAAUAGGGCAAUACUUUGGAUGUAUUCUGUUUUGACGCCAGCAAGGCUUUUCAGAAGGUCCCACAUGGGAGACUAAUACAAAGUAUUCACCAUGACACAAUCCUGGAUUGCUGGGGAUUUUGGUUGCAAGACAAUUUCACCGAAUGAUGCUCUCUCCACAGUUAGACCUCAAAAGACAGCUUCUAAAGCAUGGUGCUGCAAAUCAUGAAGAAAGGAAAUGGAAUUUUGGGCUUAAUUGCCAACUAAUUUACUGUCCCUUAAAUCCUGCCCAUCUCUGAUAGAACAUCCUAGAUGGCCGCGUUCUUCAAGGACCGCAACUUCACUCCCGCAGUGCUCGAGAGCGCCCUUGACCGUGUCUCCCUCAUUUUCCGCAACACAUCCCUAACACCCCGCCCCUGCGAUAACCACCCUAAGAGAAUCCCCCUCGUCCUCACGUACCACCCCACCAACCUCCGGAUACAGUGCAUCAUCCUCCAACACUUCCGCCAUCUACAAUCCGAUCCCACCACCCAAGACAUUUUUCCAUCCCCACCCUUGUCUGCUUUCCGGAGAGACCACUCUCUCCGUGACUCCCUUGUCCGCUCCACACUCCUCUCCAACCCCACCACACCCGGCACCUUCCCCUGCAACAGCAGGAAGUGCUACACUUGCCUCCACACCUCCUCCCUCACCCCCAUCCCAGGCCCCAAGAUUACUUUCCAUAUUAAGCAGAUGUUCACCGACACAUCUGCCAAUGUAGUAUACUGUAUCCACUGUACCCGGUGUGGCUUCCUCUACAUUGGGGAAACCAAGCGGAGGUUUGGGGACUGCUUUGCAGAACACCUCCACUCGGUUCGCAAUAAACAACUGCACCUCCCAGUCGUGAACCAUUUUAACUCCCCCUCCCAUUCCUGAGACGACAUGUCCAUCAUGGGCCUCCUGCAGUGCCACAAUGAUGCCACCCGAAGGUCGCAAGAACAGCAACUCAUAUUCUGCAGCCCAAUGGUAUCAAUGUGGACUUCACAAGCUUCAAAAUCUUUCCCUCCCCACUGCAUCCCAAAACCAUUCCAGCUCAUCCCCGCCUCUCUAACCUGUUCUUCCUCUCACCUAUCCCCUCCUCCUACCUCAAGCCGCACCUCCAUUUCCCACCUACUAACCUCACCCCACCUCCUUGACCUGUCCGUCCUCCCGGAAUGACCUAUCCCCUCUCCACCUCCCCACCUAUACUCUCCUCUCCACCUAUCUUCUCUAUCCAUCUUCAGUCCCCCUCCCCCUCUCUCCCUAUUUAUUCCAGAACCCUCUCCCCAUCCCCCUCUCUGAUGACGGGUCGAGACCCGAAACGUCAGCUUUUGUGCUCCUGAGAUGCUGCUUGGCCUGCUGUGUUCAUCCAGCUUCACACUUUGUUAUCUUGGAUUCUCCAGCGUCUGCAGUUCCCAUUAUCUCUGAGGAAAGAGGCCACUCUUUUAGACAGGCAAAUAAAUGGGUGAAGCUGAGAGAGCAAAGAAUGACAAUAAAUUUAAGAUAUAUAUGUGAACCAAAAUUUCCAAAGUAUGCUUCCUCCCUGGAUUGAUUUGCAUGUCCAUAAGGUUCCCUCACCGACUUCUACAGAUGCACCAGUGAAAGCACACUUUCCGGGUGCAUGACAGCCUGAUAUGGCAACUGCUCUGCCCGGAAUAGUAAGGAGCUACAGAAGGUAUGGAGAGCCCAAACUGUCAUGGAGACCAACCUUCCAACCAUGGAUAACACAGUGCGGAGCUGGACGAACACAGCAGGCCAGGCAGCAUCAGAGGAGCAGGAAAGUUGAUGUUUUGGUGGGCUCAAUUUACUCGGCUUGCUGCCACAGAAAGUCUGCCAGCAUCAUCAACGACCUGUCACACCCCGGGAAUGAUCUCCUGGAACCUCUUCAGUCAGGCAGAAGGUAUGGAAGCCUAAACACAUGCACGAGCAUGGUUCAGGGACAACUUCUUCAUGGGCAUUGUCAGACUGAAGAAUGGACUCUGUAGUUUCAAAUAAUGCUGAUCUUGCUAACUUUGAUCUCCUGCUCUGUGCAAUGUAACUUGUAUGGCUGUAAGGCUACCUCCCCACCUAUACUCUCCUCUCCACCUAUCUUCUUUUCUCUCCAUCUUUGGUCCGCCCCUCCCUCUCUCCCUAUUUAUUCCAGUUUCGUCUUCCCAUCCCCCUCUCUGAUGAAGGGUCUAGGCCCGAAACAUCAGCUUUUGUGCUCCUGAGAUGCUGCUUGGCCUGCUGUGUUCAUCCAACUCCACACUUUGUUUCUUGGCUGUAAGGCUUUUUGAUUUCAACAUCCUUUGCUUACUGCGAUCUGCCUGAACCACUUGUAAACAAAGCUUUUCACUGUAUUUCAGUGCAUGUGACAAUAUAUUACUCAAUCAAUCCUCUCUCUUCAGUCGCUGCACAUGAACAGUCUUCACCCAUCCCUCCCCGGAUGAGAAAAGAAAUGGAAAUGGGGAGAUAUUGCUUUUCCCCCAGAUGUUGCUCAGAGAAGGAAAUCUGAUCCUGAAGACAACGUCUGCUUUAUAAAGUUCAUAGUGAAGGGUUGGGGCUUGCCCAAAGUAGACAGUAGGAAUUGCUGAGCUUGUCAGGGAUGCCCUCAGGAUCCAGUCUGCAGGCCAGAUGCACUGACAUGAGAGACCCGCCUCAACACAUUUUUCCCCAUGCUCAUCCUGGAGCUAAGGUUUCUAGAGCAACCGGCUGCUGGCUCAGGCCAGAGCGAAAAGCCACUUGGGGUGCUGCAUCUCCGCCUUUCUCCGGAGGCUGCUGCUCCAAAAAGAUACAGAUUGAGCUUGACCACUGGCGGCUGCCAUGGUGGGACUGCACUGCACUUGCAUGGC
Molecule: long non-coding RNA, 3039 nt
Organism: Stegostoma tigrinum
Lineage: Eukaryota; Metazoa; Chordata; Chondrichthyes; Orectolobiformes; Stegostomatidae
Exons: 3
Source: RefSeq, a predicted model, not a curated record